Molecule: ribosomal RNA, 559 nt
Filed under: uncultured bacterium
Lineage: Bacteria
Description: bacterial SSU rRNA
Rfam family: Bacterial small subunit ribosomal RNA
Source: RNAcentral
CGGAACGUGCCCGAUCGUGGGGGAUAACGGAGCGAAAGCUUUGCUAAUACCGCAUACGAUCUACGGAUGAAAGCAGGGGACCGCAAGGCCUUGCGCGGACGGAGCGGCCGAUGGCAGAUUAGGUAGUUGGUGGGAUAAAAGCUUACCAAGCCGACGAUCUGUAGCUGGUCUGAGAGGACGACCAGCCACACUGGGACUGAGACACGGCCCAGACUCCUACGGGAGGCAGCAGUGGGGAAUUUUGGACAAUGGGCGAAAGCCUGAUCCAGCCAUGCCGCGUGCAGGAUGAAGGCCUUCGGGUUGUAAACUGCUUUUGUACGGAACGAAAAGCCUCUUUCUAAUAAAGAGAGGUCAUGACGGUACCGUAAGAAUAAGCACCGGCUAACUACGUGCCAGCAGCCGCGGUAAUACGUAGGGUGCAAGCGUUAAUCGGAAUUACUGGGCGUAAAGCGUGCGCAGGCGGUGAUGUAAGACAGGUGUGAAAUCCCCGGGCUCAACCUGGGAACUGCAUUUGUGACUGCAUCGCUGGAGUGCGGCAGAGGGGGAUGGAAUUCCGCGU